CUGGAGUCUAAAUUUACUUCCUUUCUGCAGAGGCCUGUUAGUCAUCUCCCACUCAUAAACAAACAUUUUGGAGACACCAGGGAAGCCGAGCCAUGAAGAGGACAAAGCUUUGCUGGUUUUCAAGUAACUAAUUCAUCAGCAGGCUCCGCGGGAGUUGUGCAAUAGCCCAGCCACUAGAGAAUCGAAACCACCCCCUACUCGUCAGGAAAACAGGCUUCUUGCAUGGACGGAGCCUUUCGUCUUCAGCUCGACUCUCACAUUCCUUUAAAAGCAUUGUAGAUUAGAUGGUUUGUCUUGCUGCUUUUUUGCUGACGAGCCCCUGGUGUCUUCAGACCCUUCCCUCCUCCCUGUGUGGAGGUCUCCUCGAGUCUCUCUGAGGGUGCUUGUGCUGGGAUCAUUUUCUUAAGCUAUCUGAAACCGGGAAAACCAGCAGCUGGCUUUAAUUAAGUGGGGACCAGGCUAUAAAUCCCACCACUGGCGUCUCCUCCCCACGGAAGCUGACCUCUGAAGACUGCUCCAACCUGCCUUGCUGCAGGAGCAAGUGCUUCAGCAGCCAAAGGUUACCCCCUGCAGUAAAUCCAAAGCUACUGCAGGAAGUUUGCUGUAAAACCAGGGGCCAGAAGUGGUCUGUGUGAGAUGCACGACCACCUGCACACAAGGAGUCUGAGCUUUUGGCUCUCGGGGUGCUCAGCUCAUCCUGGUGAUGGGGACCUCCUGCUUUGUGCAAGUCUGUCCCUGGGCUGCAGCACACCUCUGCUGUGUUUGAUCACAGUUCCGCAAUAGAUGCGGUUUCUUCCUUCUCUGGAUGCCUGCUGAAGACCUGGAAAUCUUACUUGCACAAGUGCCAGGUGCCCGUAGCUUUGACAGAUGUUAGCAGGAGCAAUGCUCCGAACGCUCAGAGGGCUUCCCAAUGACACGCACCCCAAUGGCUCAGGUUUUGGGGCCUUCCACUUGGUUCCCUGCCAUUAGUGGCUGUUUGGAUCCUCUCCUUCAGCUCCCCCAGUCCUCCAGACCCUCCACUCCUUGGGCUGCACUUCCAGCAGAAGCUCCAGUGCUGGCAGAGCGCAGCACUGUGCUGGGAGGUGCUCUGGAGAGAAGCCCAUGAGAAAAUAGCACUGCUCCAUCUUCCAGGCAGCACAGCGUGCAGCAAAUGGGGCACGGGACCACACACUGCCCACCACGGCAUGUGCUGGCCAAGGCAUAAAUCUGGGGAAAAAGAAAGAAAUGGAUCACGCAGCCAGAGCCCUGCUGCCUUUCCAGGUGCUGGCUGCGUGCAUCCACGCAGCUGUGUCGGGACGUCCUUCUGGGCGGCUCACAUGAGUCCAGGGCAAGAAAAAAUGAUGCUGAGCAAGUACUGUUCAGACUGGUGUGUGUUUCUUUCUACCUUUGGCUGAAAACUUGGCUAAGAUGUGGAUGAAAAGCACUGCUGUUUUAUUUAUUUAUUUAUUUCAACCUGGCUGUUCAAACUGCCAUGAAAAAUACGACUGCUCUGUUCUUUUAUAACCUCUUAUAAGCCCUCAUGUUUAGCCUGAACUCCCCAGAACCCAUAAAAGAAAUGGGUAGAAAUACCAUAAAAGUGAACAAAAUCCUCAAACACAGCCAGUUCAUAUUCUGAGUGUCUUAUUAAACACUUAUUAAAAAAAAUCCCUCCCCUUAUAUAAAUAUGUGAUUGUUUAUAAAUCUGUAACUAAUUUUAAGCUAUUGGAAACAGCUUUAUAGGAGAAUGGCCCUAUAGAAACAAAACUUUAACGUUAAGAACAUAACAUUAAAACU
Anas platyrhynchos (mallard) is the source of this 1773-nucleotide long non-coding RNA. RefSeq lists it as uncharacterized. The record is from RefSeq and is a predicted model, not a curated record. Lineage: Eukaryota; Metazoa; Chordata; Aves; Anseriformes; Anatidae.